Molecule: long non-coding RNA, 24865 nt
Filed under: Ananas comosus (pineapple)
Lineage: Eukaryota; Viridiplantae; Streptophyta; Magnoliopsida; Poales; Bromeliaceae
Description: long non-coding RNA (ACOM_LNC031504)
Source: RNAcentral
ACAAGAUAUACUAAAAGUUAUACACAAAAUAUACAUCUCAUGAAUACAAGAUGGUUUCUAUACAAAAAAAAAUACACCUUCCAUUACUAAAACCAAAAGAAAGGUGUCUUGAUCCACCUAUAGCAACACCAGAGUGGCUCUAGUUAGUCACUAAAUCCUUGUCGCAAUCUCUAGCCUCACCCUGUCACGCCCCGCCCCGAAUCCACUACCAAUUUGGCACGGUUCGGGCACAUCAGACGGACCGCCGAACGGACAGUACCUCUCCUGUCCGCCCAAGGCCAAGCAACCAGAUCAUGUACAAUUAAGCACCCAGGAAUUUGCUUAAAUAACAUACAUUGGAUGCAAUACGAUGACACAGUGCAUCAGUGGUAGGAGAACCAAACGUGAUCAAUACAAGUGUGUAUAGAAGAGAAUAGUCUAACUAUCACCAAUCAUUCAACAUUUACAUUUAUUUGAAUAUAUUAUAUUUUCAUCUUCCAAAAUGUAAGUACAUGUUUUUCUUCAAAAUACAAGUAGCUCUCUGAUAUCUAUCCAAAAUAUCAACUAUAACACGAUGGGUACUCUAAUGCAUAAGGAAAAGCUACUUAACUAGGCUCACUUAGGGCGCUAUGCCUUGCCGCGGUUCCUCGCUCGGCUCGCCUCUAUGAUGUACCUGUACCCCAAAACCACACGGGGUGAGAACUAUAUAAAUAUAGUUCCCAGUGGGUUCGGCCGCCGACGCCGCCGGUUUUCCACUAGGUCUAAGCUGGCACAGAUAGAGAGGAUAGAUAGAUAGAAUAAAGUAAACUGCGAACUCUAUCUGCCAUCAACGAUGAUAAUGCAUGAAAACUACUAUCAUGCGAGAAUCAUGUCAUGAGUAUAGAAAAGUACAUAGUAAUGCAAUCUACAACAUACACUAUGUCUACUCGAGGUAAUGCAUGAACAUAGCAAUAAUUUCUACUAAUCAUGAUACUAUGCUUCAACAAUAAUGGAAUGAGCUACUACAUAGUGAUGUAUCUACAACAUGCUACUAUGUCUCAAUGUCAACUCAAGGUAUGAAUGCAAAUCUGCUAUGCCAUUCAUAUUCUUUACCAAUCUCUUGGAAAUGAGCUACUACAUAGUGAUGUAUCUGCACAUGCUACUAUGCUCAAUAAUCCAAAUGAACGAGCGUACACAGUGCGUCGUGCAACUAUGCCUCGUAGUAUCCAAUCUAUGGCCAACCCGAAGGUUGCCACCCCGGGGUCAACCCCGACUCACUCUCAAUCUCAUAGGUGAGGAGAAACUGCACUCGCCACACCGAGACCGUCUGCGGGACAACUACGUCUGCCCCUAGUGAAGUACUCCCGGAGACUCGUGCCUCGGUGGAGCGACCACCGACAAGCAAAACAGACUAGUGAGUAUGAUCCAAUCCUCACAAGAGGAUACCUAUCUACAAGGGUCAACGUGCCUCUGCUGCACAAUGUACAAUGCAUCCUAGAUGCCGGGAUCUCUACUAUCCCUAAGUACAUGUCGAGUUUACUACACUAGACUCAAUGCCCCUGUUUAGUCAUUGUAGUAAAUGUCUCAAUUAUUCUACUGUUAUUUGUUCAUGUCAUAGUGUCUCUCCUACACUAGUUCAAUGCCACUCUACUAGGCUAGUUCAAAUUCAUCACUUUUGCCACUAUAGGAUUCUUUGUCUCAAGACCAAUCCUCAUGCCUCCCUAGUCCAAGUGUUAGGUCCAUACCGCUACACUACUAAGUAAGCAUGCAAGGAAUGGAAAUAUACUUUACUAAUCCUAUAAUGCUCAAUCAAUAUAUGAUGAAUAAAAUUAACUUAGGCAUAAAAGGAAACCCGGAUGUUUCGGGAUGACACCCCCCCCUUUUACCGCUAUCACGAGGCUAGGUUCUCAAUUGCACGUUCCCUAGUCGCCGCGUUUACUCUUUCGGUCGCACCUGCUCGACGAAUCGACGACACCGACGCAUUACACGGCGUUUUAGGCACCUCAAACACAAGCUUUUCCUCAAACCAAGUAAUGAAGAGGAUGAAGACUUCACCUCCAAGCAACCUUUUUCUUCUCCAAAUGCACCUCCAAUUCCUCUCUUUGGUGGAGAAAUUGUUAGAGAGAGAGAGAUAUUUCUCUUUGGUUGCAAGUGUGAGGGAGAAAGAAAGAAAAUGCUCAAGUCCCCUAUAUAUAUAUAUAGGAAACUUGGCCUCCAAGUUUCAUAGGAAACUUGGUCUCCAAGUGUCAUAGGAAACUUAGCCUCCAAGUUUCAUAGGAAACUUGGCCUCCAAGUUAUCUAGGAAACUUGGCCUCCAAGUUAUCCAAGAAUACUAUUCACAUUCAGUUUAGCAGCACGGUACAGAUAUUUUUCGUCUGCCCUGUCUCUCACAGAAAAUUCUAAAUCUUCUGUUUUCGCUUCCAUUUCAACACGGGUCACUCUAGACUUAUAAUUUAUGUCUAUAAGUCCAAUAAAAAUAGUAUCCCACACUAUUUUUAUUUAUUUCCACUUUUACAUUUAAAAUCCGGUACCUUACACACCCGCUAUGGAAGGCUUUGAAAUAAAAAUAAACAACCAAUGGGAGGCUUUGAAAUGAAAACAAACAACCAAUGAGGGUGAGGACUAUUUAAUAAUAGUUUCUAGUGGGUAAGCUGCCGAGAGUACGAAAUACAAUACUAGGUCAACAUAGGCAAAUAUAACAAAUAACUAAAUGAGAAACUACUAUAAUUACUGAAAUUGAAAUGUUCUAAUACUAUCAUGCCUCUAUGCAACAAUACCGCAAUGUCGACUAAUAUGAAGGUAGUUCUACUACUACUAUCAUACAUACAAAAGUAUGCAAGAGUUUACAUAUAUGUCCAUCUCGAUGAAUGCAUCAAAUUAUGAUGUACAAUGCCAUAUUUAGUUUAAUUAUAAACCAAUCAUUAAGGACUUAUACGAGGUAACGUCCUGACUUGUGCCGUACCUAAUGGCUCCCGUGGUAGUCAACAUCUUUCCUCUAGAAAUGAGUCUCUUCCACGGCAUCCCAUUUCGGUUCCCAAAUUUCGCACGGGUGAGUAUGAUGUCGCAAAGGCUAAACUCCGGGGUGCUAGCUUGUAGGAAGUGACCCUCAGGAGCAUGUACGAAUGAGCACAAGAGUAAACAAGCAUGAUCAAAUGCAUAUAAAACCUCAUUCAUCAUGUCUAAAACAUGAAAUUCCAAUUAACGACCUAUCGGUUGAAUACAUUGCCAUAAUAUUAUGCCUUGUCAUUUUACUAGGUUUAAGCACAAUAUACUUAAUCACUACAACAUGUCUCUAACAUGCAAGUGUCACCUUUCAUCAUAACUAUAAUAAUAAGUAUGCAUGAUUUGACAUUCAAGUUCUAAUAAAUAACUUGCUCACUAGUCAUGUAUGGUUACUAAUGAGUAACAUCUCAACAAUAAUAUACAAGAGGACAAUUUAACCAUGAGAUUGACUACAUCAUAUAUCUUUAUAUGUGUGCUUUUUACUAUGAAUGUCGCUACUACAUAGAGGAUAAAAUUCUCCAUACAAGAUGUAUCCAAAUUAUAAGCGCAAAAAUUUAAUGUUAUCUUGAAUUGCAUGUUGUACCAUAUAAUAAGCUCAAUAAUGAGAUAGGAAACAUAUGGAGAGUUCACCCAUUUCAGUGAGGUCAAAUCCACCGGAUAACCAUCGAAAGCUGGAUCAUUUCGAAAACAAAGUUGCCCCCCAAACUUCUUACACCCUAAGAAAAAUUUCUAAAGGGUUACAAAUUUCUAAAAAUCUCACUACAAAAUUUACCAAAAUUCAAAGAAAAAAUAAGUGAAAAUUACCUUGGAUCAAGAAAAACAUAUCCGAACGCCAAAUCAAAGCAAUGGGGGGCUUCAAAUCCAACCUAAAAGAGUAUUCUACACUCAUUAAUUUCACCUCAAAAGCCUAUACUUGAAAAAUCCCAAAAUAAACCGUAGUUUCUACAAAAUUAUGUUUUCUACCAAAAGAAAGGGGUGAAGGGGUAUUUUACUUGUCGUAACUGUAAGAAUUUAUCCGGCACAAAAAAUCGCAGCGGAAAAUAAAUAUCAUGUUUUCGAAAAACAAAAAUCCAUAUCACAUAUGAACCAAAAUAAAACAAAUCAAUCUAGUGCCGGUGGAUCAUUCUCAUGUUGCAAUGUAAAAUAAAAUUUAACCUAAACAGAUUUAAAGUUUAGGUUACAUUACCUGGGACCAGUUAAGGUCUAUUGAUCUACUGUACGGUUGAAACUGAAAUUCCGAUCAGCCGCACACGUGCCCGGCCUCUACGCGUAUCCACACGAAAUUGAUCCAGAUCCAAUGCUUUCCGUCGCACGGAAUAGAUGAGUCGCGGAUUACAAAGACAAUGCUAGCAGUCUCGUGAUAUCCACGUUCGCCUUUUGUGAGAUGUACUGAUUUUUUUUUUGAAAAAAUUAGAGAGAGAUGGAUGAUCUAAUAUUUCUCAAGAGGCUAUUAUUAAAUUCCUCUCGUAAAAGGAUGUUAUAUUAUGUUCACGUAGCCGUACAUUAAUAAUUGAUUAAGCCACGCCUAGCCGUACAAUCGACAUCCUCAAUAUUCUGUUGCAACUAAUUUGGAUCACAUCCAAUUAGUUGCAUAAAUUGUUGCAUGCAUUCUGGUAUAACUAAUUUGGAUCAUAUCCAAUUAGUUACAUGCAUUCUAAUGUAACCAAUUUUGAUCAUAUCCAAUUAGUUCCCAUAGAUAAGUAAAACAAAUUUAUACUUAUCCUUAUGGAUAUUUUAUCUUUGUCUCUCUCUUUAAUUUAAUUGGAUCUUAUCCAUUAAAUAUUCAUAUUAUAAUCUAUUUAGAAUAUUAUCUCAUAAUAAUCUAUGAAUAAUUAAUUAUUCUCUAAUCUAAUUAGAGAUUAAAUCAAAUUAUAAUUCUCACAAUUUUCACUAAACUAUUUAGUGUAUUAAUUAGACUCAUCUUAUCAAAUUGGAUGCACACAAUUCCUAUUGUGUGUGACCGCAUAGGUCCAUUAUCAUUCGGUAGUGGAGUUCAAUAUCAAACUCUUUAAUAUUGAAUUAGAACUCUUCUAAUCUAUAAAAUAAUUUAUUUGAAUUAUUUUUACUUCUCUCACUGUCCGUGAGUGACACCUAGCAGUAUAUCACGGCAAUCCAGAAUGAUGAUGAAAAACGAACCUUUCCACUAACAGUUACUAUGUGAUUAAUUCCUUCCAACAUACAACGCCCCGAUCGAACUAAAAUUAUGGUUACUCGCCAAAUCUUAUUAUUCGAUCAUAUGACUAGAAUAUCUAAAACUGACUCAAUAUGGUAACACAGCUGGAAACUCUUUCCACACACCACGUACCCUGGCCAAGGAUUUUUCGAGUCAAGUUCGACAGUCUACAUAGGACGUUCUCUCUCACUAUUGAGAGUGUUGAAUUCCUUAUUGCGCAUUCACAUGCCUCCCCAUAUAAACUACUACAAUCAAUCAGUACCAGACAUAGACCAAUGAUUAGAGUCUAAGUAUUAGUACAGUUAAACAGUAGCAAUCUACAUGUGAAGCAACCAUGAUGCCUCAGGUCUAAGGAGUACUUCACACAACUGUAGCAACGAACUAGUCACUGGCGAAUUCGGAACCAUGUGACUGUUCAACUAAAUGGUCAUGCUCAGUGUACUUGUGUCACGCCCCGGGGUCCCCUUUUUGUUUGAAACACAGCGGAAAAGCGUUUAAAUUUUUUUUUGAAAACCUGACCCCAGAGUAUGCAAGAUCCGCCACAAAUACAGGGAAUCCACUGUUCACACGGACAGAGUCUCCCCUGUAUUUGCACGGCGUCGCACAAGUACAAAAGUACAAACAGUAUACAACCACAACUAAAUGAAUAUACAGAUAGCUAUACAUUCAUACAUUCACCAUUCACACCGUAGUUUUACAUUCGAUGUUUAAACAAAAGUCUACGAAAAAUCUUUUGAAAACUGUUCCAUACGCGAAAACUUUUAUCUUUUAUAAAAGCUACCACGAGGGGUAGAUAACCUUUUAUUUUUUCAAAUCCAGAAAUCUUUUUAUUACAUUUAUGAAAGUCCACAUAUUCCAAUGUAAUAAAAAUACUGAACCAUAUAAACUGACUGAGCUAUAACACAGAAUAGUAGGGAUAAAACUAAACCGAUAACCUGGGUCGGAAGCUCUAUCGACCGCUACGAACGUACCUCACGUCUCGUCCCAAAACUCAACGCCUGCAAUACCUGAAAAAAUGGUGAGGGAGGUGAGAACAUGUAAACAUGUCUCCCCUCCCAGUGGGUACCGCAAGCCGACGAGGGCGAGGAGUACUCACCGGAUCGGGAAUAGAUAAACAACAGUAUGGGUAAGUAAAAUGCAGUAGCAACGAUAAUGAACGAAUGAGAUAUAUAUAUGAAAGCACAACUACCGCUACAGUAAUGUACAACUGCAAGCAUACAAGGAUAUUAAAACUAUAGUAGCAAGACAAUUGUAAAGGAAGAACUAGAAGUAUAUAUGCAACAACCGCUACUAUAGCUAUAUGCGUCAACCGGACGAGAAGUCCAAAAGUACCAAAUCUAAACCGCCGUGUCGGUCUAAGGACCUCAGGCAAAAGCCACUACCUGCUCACACCUGGCAUGUAACCCUAGCACAAAGAGAACACCGCUGGGCUCACGGGUCGGAUGUACGACCACUUUUCCGGAAAAGAACACCCUCCUGCGGGGGAUCAACCCGCUGGUGUACGUGAAAUGCACUCGAGCUGUGGCGAUCAAUGCAGAUAUGAUCAAUAGCCAACCGUCGGCAAUCAGCCGACAAUCACCGCCCCUCGGGGCUAACCGACCAUGAAGGUCAUCAAGUAACAACGUGAACCGACCAAGAUAGGUCAGUAUACGGAGAGUAACGAACGACCAAACAGGUCACCGAUGCAAACAGGAGAACCGACCAACCAGGUCACAAGUAUAGUAUAUACGAAUGCCAUCUACUCUACCCCUAUACAGGAUACUAUACAUAGAACAACCAGGCAGAGUAAAUAAAGAUAGUAUGUAGAUACUGCUCGAUGUCAACUAAAAGUACGAACGCAAGAACCGACCGAUAGGUCACAGGAGUGUAUUCGAUAUAGUCCAGAACUACCGUCAGCACCAACCGAUAAUCCUACCCCUCAGGGUACACCGACCUCAAAGGUCAUCGAACGACAGAAGUCAAGAAACAGACCAACCCAAUACAUAAUGCAGCAACCGACCAACCAGGUCAACAGAUAUAAGAUAAAAGCACCGAUCAACUAGGUCACCGAAACGAAGUACAAGAACCGACCAAUCAGGUCACCGGGACGAAGUACGAGAACCGACCAAUCAGGUCAUCGGGAUCACAUAUGGAUAAACUACUCUACUCCUACACAUGAUACUAAGCAUAGAAACAUAUGAGUAGAGUAUAAUAGAAACAACGGGGAUGCAAGCUCAAUACUAUAUAUCAAGAUAUAUAUAUAUAUAUAUAUAUAUAUAUAUAUAUCAGAUAAUAACGAGAGAACAGAGGUAGGAAACCAUCACCGAGCGUGCACCACUGUACCGACGUCGGAUCGAAGUACCCACCUGUACAAAUGCUGCGCCUGUCUCCUGACUGCAAAAGGACGUCAACUGGACCUAAGGAAGGUCCACCGGGUUAGUGUCUAACCCACAACUAAUAAUCACUAGAUCCACAAUACAAGCAAACCCAUGGAGAUCGGUUUCCCAAACCGAUCGCCGUAAUACGCCGAAAGUCCCAUAAUCGCACGGGGACUCCGCCGGGAGCCACGAACUGUCCCGGAACAUACCGACUCGAGCUACGAGUCACCUGCUGCCACUAAACAUAAAUAAUCGUGCAUCAUGGCAGCAAACACCACUCCUCACGUCGAAACAACUAUCGUCGGAUAAUCGUUUCGAUCCGGGUUCCCGAAAGUGUCUAAUUCGACACCGGAACCUACCGUCGCUCACCCGUCAUUUUUCGAACCCUCAAAAUGAUGCGAGUGACCAGCCAACAAGGCUCAGCGACUACACAAUUCAUCACGAAGCACUGUCGGAAGGAAUCCGAACCGAUCCCGCGUUCCGUCGGCGGAUUUUGCCGAGAAACACGCCGAAAAUCUCUUUCCGACACUUGCAAAGGCUUGGGGCCUUGGACGAUCAGUCCAGAGGUUACCCUUAGCCUAUACCUGCUGCCAACAGCAGCCAUGACAGACAAACUUGCACAAAAGCCCUUCCGACUGCUCGAAAUCACAUUAUUUUAUGUGAUUUCAGCGCUUUUAUGGUCCGUCGACACAAACCAGCAGUCAAUCAACCGAGCCGAGACACCCGCUGACAGGUCUCGGCAUGCCGGAGGCCGUGCUCACCUUUCGGAGCACUGCCGGCCACUGUGGCAUGCGCACAAGUGACGCAGAAAUCAGCGAAAUUGCGCGCACAGCGCUAAGAUCGCCUCUAAUUCGCUAACUAGGGCAUCGUUGACCCUGUCGGAGGUGAGUACGAUGUUCAGCACGAAUCUGAGAUCAUCGUGCUCACUUCCCGGAGUGUCAAAGUAUCCUCGGAUCACCAGAAAGGUGACAGAAACUCUAAACUACAGUGCUGUCAACAUAAACAAUGCUUACCGGACCAGUGGGAGCUAGGGCUCGUCGCCGGCGAUCGGGCGGCGGGCGCUCCGGCCGGUGAUGGGAGCAGCAGGUCGGGGAGGUCCGGGGGAGGUGCUGGCCGGCGGCGGCAUCAGCCUGUGGCGCGGCGGCGGAGAUCGGGCCCGCCGACUUCCUCUCGGGUUGGAGCUUGCCGGCGGCGAGGCGGCGACCGGGGGAGGUCGGGGCGGCAACGACCCGUCGCCGGAGGUCGAGGGGAGGGUGAGGCUCCCGACGGUGGGUGGCGGCGACACUCAGAAACGGUGAGGGCCCAGCCCCGGCCAGCACGAGUUCAGGGAUGGCCGCAAAGGCUCGGCCGGCGGCUACGGGGACGACCGGGGACGCACGCCGGAGGUCGCCGGAGAUCGAGGGAUGACGGCGCGGCCGAUCUGGAGUGUCGGCGGUGCGCGGAUCACAAACCCACCCGAUCUCGGUCUGGGUGACCGCAGCUGGCCGCCAGGAGCUAGGGCGGCUUCGGGGCCGCUCCGGGACGGCGGGGCGGCGAGCGGGAUGUCGCCGGAAGCCAGAAGGAGUCGGGGCGACCAAGCUGGGGUGGUUCCAACACGCGGGCCUCGAGCUGAAGUCGGCUCGGCCUGGGCUGACCCUGGGCUAGCUGCGACUUGCUCGGGCGGCGCCGGUGGCGUGUGCAGGCGGCCGGAACGGCCGGUGACGGUGCUGGAGGGGGUGUCUCCGCCAGGAGAAGGGUUCCAAGGAUGAUUUGAAGUUCCCCCGGGUUCCACGGCCGAGGGUGAAGCAAUAUGGAGGGAGAGAGCAAUGGGGGAAAGGCUGGGGAGGGUUUUUCGGUGGUCGGGGCAGCCUGCCAGCGGCCAGGGCAUGAACACGAGGUGGGCUGAAGAGAGCUGAGUCGGUUAGGAGGCUAGGUUGGCCGGGGGAUGGGUUAGGGUUAGGGUUUCUUAAAGCAAAACCCUAGAUUAAUAUAUAUGCAAGGCAAUAAAUUGCGUCAAAGUCCCUCCAAACUCGAUAAUUUGCAAUUCAGUCCCUCACAGCACGAGUAAAACGUGCAUAAACCCCUCCACGCGCGAUUUCACGCGAAACGGUACAUAAAAUGUCGCAACUUUUGCGAAAUUACCGUUUUGCCAUCACCGACCUCUCCUUGAUCAACGCGCGAUCUCCGCAGAUCCGUCCGUCGGAUUUGCGAACGGAUUGCACCAGUGCGAUCAGCACCUCGGAGACAACAAAGCUACACUUUCGAUUCAUCUCGAUUGACCACGGAUUCACAACAAAAUCCAACCUUCUUCCAAUAGAAGGAAACACACACACAAAUACAUAUAAAACAUGUAUUUUUGGAUUUUCUCGAAAUCCGUGCGUCAAACUCAAAAUCCAUCAGCGCCACAAGUUCCAGAACAGCUGAACCGGUCGAAACGAGCUAUUGGACUGAUAUGAACGGAGUCCGAUACGCGCCAGAAGCCAACUCUACUCCGUGGCUUAUCCGGAAAACCGGAGUUACUAUUCACUUAAGUGAAAACUAAAAGUCGCGUAUCUUCUCCAUUUUAGCUCAUUUUCGCCCGAAACUUGACGAGUGCUUAAGUAAUUAAAUUACACACAUAAACAUCAUCAACAGAGAGUUUAGUAGCACUGUCAAAAAAAAAUCUCAGUCCUUACAACUUGUUCGCUAACAAGCACCUGCAUGCUUACUUUAGUGUCCCUACACUAAUGACUUGAGAUUCGUUACCUCAACUUAGAAGUAUAGCAUACACCGGCCUAUCCGGAAAUAUCAUCGUCCUUAUGAUAUUCCUAUGGCUAGGAGCAUUUAAGAAUCUUGUACAAAGAACUAUAUAUCUCAAAUUCCUAACUCUUAGGAAUAUAUUUUCUUAACGAAGAUUCAAUGGACGAUUCAUAUAAAUGUAUUGUACUGCUAACAAUAAAUAUGAAUAAAACUUGCCCUUUAUUAAUUAAGAAAAAUACUUAAUAUGUUCACAAGCCUGCGUCACCGAUUGGCUUUAGGGUAUAUCACUAACAAUCUCCCACUUGCACUAAUGCCAAUCGCUCAUGUAUCUCAUACCCAUUCUUUCUAAAUGCACAUCCAGCUUUUGAAGUGUGAGCGGCUUAGUAAGGGGAUCUGCUAUAUUGUCUACGGAUGCUACUUUCUGCACAACAAUUUGACGCUCAUCUAUAAAUUAUCGGAUGAUGUGGUAGCGUCGAUCUAUAUGCUUGGACUUCUGGUGAGACCUCGGUUCUUUAGUUUGCGCUAUAGCUCCAUUAUUGUCACAGUAAAGUGGCAUUGGUUCCUCAAUAGAAGGCACCACUCCUAGUUCCGUGACGAACUUUCGAAGCCAAACUGCCUCCUUUGAUGCCUCAGAUGCUGCAAUGUACUAUGCCUCAGUAGUGGAAUCUGCUGUUGUAUUCUGUUUGGAACUCUUCCAAAUGAUAGCCCCACCAUUCAAUAUGAAGACAUGCCCUGAUGUUGACUUUCUAUCAUCAACAUCUGACAUGAAGUCUGAAUGUGUGAAGCCUUCUAACGUUAGCUCAUUUCCACCAUACACCAAACACAAAUCCUUAGUUCUUCUCAAGUACUUAAGGAUAUUCUUCACAGCAGUCCAGUGUUCUUCACCUGGAUUGGACUGAUAUCUGCUCGUAACACUUACGGCAUAUGCGAUAUCUGGUCUUGUACAUAGCAUAGCAUACAUGAGACUUCCUAUUGCAAAAGCAUAGGGAAUUCUGCUCAUACGCUCUCUUUCCUCAGGUGUUUUAGGACACAUCAUCUUGGAAAGAUUAAUUCCAUGUCUAAGAGGAAGAAGACCCCUUUUGGAAUUUUCCAUGUUGAACCUCUUCAAUACAUCUUCUAUGUACAUUUGCUAUGACAAACCGAUCAACCUCUUAGAUCUAUCUCUAUAGACCUUAAUGCCAAGUAUAUAGGCUGCCUCUCCUAGAUCUUUCAUUAAGAAAUUUUGGGACAACAAAACCUUAACAGAGGUCAUCAAACCUGCAUCAUUUCCAAUCAAAAGAAUGUCGUCCACGUACAAUACGAGAAAGACAAGUUGGCUCCCACUAGUCUUCUUGUAAACACAAGGUUCAUCUUGAUUUCUCACGAAGCCAAACAUUUUGACUGCAUCAUUGAACCGUAUGUUCCAACUCCUCGAAGCCUGCUUCAAUCCAUAAAUGGACCUCUGAAGCUUGCAUACUUUAUGUUUCUGGCUAUUGGACACAAAUCCCUCAGGCUGCUGCAUAUAUAUGUCCUCCUCUAUGAAUCCAUUGAGGAAAGCAGUUUUUACGUCCAUUUGCCAUAUCUCAUAAUCAUAGUAUGCGGCUAUGGCAAGUAAUGUUCGAAUAGAUUUAAGCAUGACCACAGGAGAGAACGUUUCUUUAUAGUUGAGACAUUCUCGUUGACUGUAGCCUUUUGCUACAAGUCUCGCCUUGUAUGUCUCUACUUUUCCAUCCACACCAAUCUUUUUCUUGAAAAUCCAUUUACAACCAACAGGUACUAUACCUUCUGGAGGAUCAACAAGAGUUCAUACGUAAUUGGUAUACUUUGAGUCCAUUUCGGACUUCAUAGCUUCUUGCCAUUUUAUUGAGUCGAUGUCUAACAUCGCCUCUUCGUAACUAGUAGGAUCAUCCCUGCGAUCACUAUCGCCAAUGAGAAACAUUUCCUUUGUGCAUUCCAUAACGAAAUCUCGAUAUUUUGCUGGAGGUUGGGAUAUUCUACCAGAUCUUCGAGGUAAUUGUGUAAUAGUGGGUUCAGUUUGAAUAGCUUGUUCAGAUUGUUCUAGAGAAAUUGUUUGCUCAUUUGAGACCAUCUCUUUGAGCACUAUCUCCUUUCCGGCACUACCUUCUUGGAUAAACUCUUUUUCCAAAAAUAUUGCAUGUCGGCUAACAAUCACGUUUUGUUCACUUUGAAGAUAAAAAUAGUAUCCCAUAGACUCCUUGGGAUAACCAAUAAAUCUUCCUUUAUCCGACCUAGCCUCCAAUUUAUCUGUUUUAAGUUUUUUAACAAAAGCCGGGCAUCCCCAAAUCCUUAAAUGAUUGAGACCUGGUUUUUUGCCAAACCACAUCUCAUGCAGGGUACAAGGAAUAGAUUUUGAAGGCACCCUGUUUAGAAUAUAGGCUGCGGUUAAUAGAGCAUAACCCCAAAGAAAUAAAGGUAAGUCUGUGAAGCUCAUCAUCGAUCGUACCAUAUCUAAUAAAGUACGAUUCCUUCUUUCUGAAACUUCAUUCAAUUCCGGAGUUCCAGGAGGUGUCCAUUGCGAGAGAAUACCGUUUUCUCUGAGAUAAUUUAAAAAUUCAGCACCAAGGUAUUCGCCUCCUCGAUCUGAUCGAAGAGCCUUAAUAUUUUUUCCUGUCUGCUUCUCUACUUCAUGUCUGAAUUCUUUGAACUUUUCAAAAGUUUUAGACUUGUGUUUCAUAAGAAACACAGGCCCAUACCGUGAAUAAUCAUCGGUAAAAGUCACAAAGUAAAGAUAACCACCCCGAGCCGUUUCACUAAACGGUCCACACACAUCCGAGUGUAUAAGGGCAAGUAACUCUGUGGCUUGCUCUCUUUGUCCAACAAAGGGUGACUUGGCCAUUUUGCCUUGAAGACAAGACUCACAAACUGGAUAAGAUUCUAAAGCACAAGUUCCCAAGUGCCCAUCCUUCGCCAGUCGGUUUAUCCUAUCUUCUGCAAUAUGACCUAGUCGAAGGUGCCAUAGAUACUUCUGGUUCAGACUAUUAUCUCUAGGUCUCUUGAUUUGAGAAUUAUUCUCUUUAUGUUCAAUAUUAGCAACAUUUCCAUCCAGAUUUAGAAAGUAGAGAUUGUUAACUAAACUACCAGUAGCUAUCAAUUUAUUUUGGAAAUAAAUAAAACAACCAUUAGUUUCAAAAAUAAAACGAUAACCAGUUUGUACUAAAGUUGUAACCGAAAUCAAAUUCCUAACAACUAAAGAAGAAUAAUAACAAUUCUCUAAUUCUAAAAUAUGUCCAGAUGGAAGUCUCAAAGAACAGCUCCCUACGGCUAACACAGCAACACUUGCUUCAUUUCCCGCACGCAGGGUCACCUCGCCGUCCUUCAGUGUUCUACUUCCCUUUAGAUCCUGCAAUGAAUUACAAAGAUGUAAGGUGCAUGCAAAAUCUAAUACCCAAGAAGAAGUAGAGCCAAUCAUAUUGGCCUCAACGAUGAGCAUUUCGUUCGUACCUUCAGAACGCCCCUCCUUCAAUUUUUCUUUUAGGCUAGAAAGAUAUUCUUUACAAUUUCUCUUCCAAUGCCCAUCCUUACCGCAACGGAAACAUUUUCCUUUAGCCUUGCCAUUGUUGGAUUUCUUGAAAUUUUCUUUCUUCACUCCACCCGAUGACUUGAACUUAGGAAACUUUUUCUUUCCUUUGAACUUUCCUUUUGAAGCUCUUUCAACCGCCAUCGCCAUCCCGUUUGUCUUCAAUGUGCCUUCCGCUGUGAUUAGCAUAUUCAUAAGCUCGGACAAAGUGGCAUGAAUCCUAUUCAUGUUGAAGUUCAUAACGAAAUGAGAGAACGAUUCUGCCAAAGACUGUAGAACUAGAUCGAUCUGCAAGUCUGCGUCCAAGUUCAAGCCGAGGUUUUUCAGCUGGUCCAUGUCGUCAAUCAUUUUGAGACAAUGUUCACUGACCGACGUGCCUGGAGUCAUCUGAGCUUUAAACAAUCGCUUUGAUAUCUCAUAUCUUGCUGUUCGGCUUUGUGCACCAUACAACUCUUGUAAGUGCGCAAGCAUCUCAUAUGCUCGAGUAUAGUUCUCAUGCUGCCGUUGCAGCUCAUUCGACAUAGAGGCCAGCAUGUAAUAUUUAACACGUUGGUCAUCAUCAACCCACAUGUCUCUCUCCUCAACUUCUUCAGUUGUGGCUUCAGCGGUAAGCUCGGGAAUUGGAGCUUGAAGAACAUAAUCAAGCUUUUCAAUAACUAAAACAAUUUUUAGGUUACGAAGCCAGUCUUGGAAAUUAGGGACAGUUAAUCGGUUAGAUUCCAUUAUGCGAGAAAGAGGGUUAGAGGCAUUCAUUUUGUCUGCAGAAGGUAGAGAUUUUAGUUAGAUAAGUAAUUUUUUCUUUUUAACCAAUUAAACCAGGGUCUAUUAGUUUAAAAGGUUCCUCCCACUAAUUUUAUCGAAUUUCUACACUCCCUAAGUAGAAAGACGGAAAUCCUCAUCCGUUAGAUUUUUUAGUGGCGAUUGGGGUUUCAUAAAUUACGACUCACCUCACCGGACAGUUUCUUGGAAAACCGUAAUUUAAUGAACGGGUAACAUCUUACCUCGACACAUCUUAUGUGCAAUCCAAUCGUCCUUUGGCCUCUAAGAACUUUACGCCUCACCGGACAGUUUCUUGGCGCAACAACCUCAGUUAAGUCUAAUCCUCCUCUCCUACAAAUAUGGAAUUAUCAAAAGACCCUCACCGGACGGUUUCUUGGAUCCAUUGAUAAUGCUAUAUUGUAGCAUCUUAUGUCAAGAUGUUCGCAUAGUUCAAACACAAGUAGCCCCAUGGGAUCAUGCGUGACUACUCAAUGCUGAAACAAUGCUACAUCUUGUGAUCGGUGGAAGGCGACGAUAGAGCAUCAAAUGCCCCUUCGUUUCAACUUAAUAUUUUAUAGGGAGUUUUAAAAUUAUAUAUCGGUCUCAUCAUCACAUGUUAUAUCUCAUAUAAAAUUAAUCACAUGUAUCACAUACACAAAAAUAAAUUGCAUAGUUUAGGGAUGAUCAUGGACUUUUCUGAUUCGACUCGAGCCGAUGAGUCAAAUCGGUCUAUAGGGUGAUACACACAUAUUCUCAACAAUUGCAAAUAUUAAGCCAUCUUCUUCUGUUGGAUCUGAUACAUCCUUUGAUGCCAUCACGAUUUGCGACGCCAAUCCAUCAAUGCUUGAUGUGGAUUUUUCUCCAAAUAAUCCUAAUUUUAUCUAAUAAAAAUACAAGGAUUCGUAGAUCCCAAUAAAAUGGCACGCAGGCCCUUCGUGAUAAAAAAAAUAUACAACCAUAAUUAAAUUACAAAUACACCCAUAAUCAAAUUACAAAUACAUCCAUAAUCACAUUACAAAUACAUCCAUAAUCACAUCACAGAUGUCUAAGGUCCAUGAUCAUCACCCAUCUAAAAACUAUGCAGAAAAUAAUAACCAAAUCGAUCUAAUCAUUGAUUAAAAUUUAGAACUCAAUAAUAUGUUUUUCUCAAGUCUCCACGUAUUUUUUUUAUGGUGUGAAACCGAUAAAUCACACUACGUGCAACUUAAGAAAAACAAUAUCGAUCUCAUCGAAAAUGGUUCCAAAAUUUCAAUCAAACCAUAAAGAUCGUAAAUAUUUUACAUAGAACAUGAGAAUCGGCUCUGAUACCACUGUAAGAGUUUAUCCGGCACAAAAAAUCGCAGCGGAAAAUAAAUAUCGUGUUUUCGAAAAACAAAAAUCCAUAUCACAUAUGAACCAAAAUAAAACAAAUCAAUCCAGUGCCGGUGGAUCAUUCUCAUGUUGCAAUAUAAAAUAAAAUUUAACCUAAACAGAUUUAAAGUUCAGGUUACAUUACCUUGGACCAGUUAAGGUCUCUUGAUCUACUGUACGGUUGAAACUGAAAUUCCGAUCAGCCGCACACGUGCCCGGCCUCUACGCGUAUCCACACGGAAUUGAUCCAGAUCCAAUGCUUUCCGUCGCACGGAAUAGAUGAGUCGCGGAUUACAAAGACGGUGCUAGCAGUCUCGUGAUAUCCACGUUCGCCUUUUGUGAGAUGUACUGAUUUUUUUUUUGGAAAAAUUAGAGAGAGAUGGAUGAUCUAAUAUUUCUCAAGAGGCUAUUAUUAAAUUCCUCUCGUAAAAGGAUGUUAUAUUAUGUUCACGUAGCCGUGCAUUAAUAAUUGAUUAAGCCACGCCUAGCCAUACAAUCAACAUCCUCAAUAUUCUUUUGCAACUAAUUUGGAUCACAUCCAAUUAGUUGCAUAAAUUGUUGCAUGCAUUCUGGUAUAACUAAUUUGGAUCAUAUCCAAUUAGUUACAUGCAUUCUAAUGUAACCAAUUUUGAUCAUAUCCAAUUAGUUCCCAUUGAUAAGUAAAACAAAUUUAUACUUAUCCUUAUGGAUUAUUUAUCUUUGUCUCUCUCUUUAAUUUAAUUGGAUCUUAUCCAUUAAAUAUUCAUAUUAUAAUCUAUUUAGAAUAUUAUCUCAUAAUAAUCUAUGAAUAAUUAAUUAUUCUCUAAUCUAAUUAGAGAUUAAAUCAAAUUAUAAUUCUCACAAUUUUCACUAAACUAUUUAGUGUAUUAAUUAGACUCAUCUUAUCAAAUUGGAUGCACACAAUUCCUAUUGUGUGUGACCGCAUAGGUCCAUUAUCAUUCGGUAGUGGAGUUCAAUAUCAAACUCUUUAAUAUUGAAUUAGAACUCUUCUAAUCUAUAAAAUAAUUUAUUUGAAUUAUUUUUACUUCUCUCAUUGUCUGUGAGUGACACCUAGCAGUAUAUCACGGCAAUCCAGAAUAAUGAUGAAAAACGAACCUUUCCACUAAUAGUUACUAUGUGAUUAAUUCCUUCCAACAUACAACGCCCCGAUCGAACUAAAAUUAUGGUUACUCGCCAAAUUUUAUUAUUCGAUCAUAUGACUAGAAUAUCUAAAACUGACUCAAUAUGGUAACACAGCUGGAAACUCUUUCCACACACCACGUACCCUGGCCAAGGAUUUUUCGAGUCAAGUUCGAUGGUCUACAUAGGACGUUCUCUCUCACUAUUGAGAGUGUUGAAUUCCUUAUUGCGCAUUCACAUGCCUCCCCAUAUAAACUACUACAGCCAAUCAGUACCAGACAUAGACCAAUGAUUAGAGUCUAAAUAUUAGUACAGUUAAAUAGUAGCAAUCUACAUGUGAAGCAACCAUGAUGCCUCAGGUCUAAGGAGUACUUCACACAACUGUAGCAAAGAACUAGUCACUGGCGAAUUCGGAACCAUGUGACUGUUCAACUAAAUGGUCACGCUCAGUGUACUUAUUCGCUAACAAGCACCUGCAUGCUUACUUUAGUGUCCCUACACUAAUGACUUGAGAUUGGUUACCUCAACUUAGAAGUAUAGCAUACACCGGCCUAUCCGGAAAUAUCAUCGUCCUUAUGAUAUUCCUAUGGUUAGGAGCAUUUAAGAAUCUUGUACAAAGAAAUAUAUAUCUCAAAUUCCUAACUCUUAGGAAUAUAUUUUCUUAACGAAGAUUCAAUGGACGAUUCAUGUAAAUGUAUUGUACUGCUAACAAUAAAUAUGAAUAAAACUUGCCCUUUAUUAAUUAAGAAAAAUACUUAAUAUGUUCACAAGCCUGCGUCACCGAUUGGCUUUAGGGUAUAUCACUAACAGUAACAAUAUCCCCAAAGGUCCCCCAAAACUCAGAAAUUACAACAUGUGCAAAACAGUUCUGUACCAUCGAGUAUCGAUAUGCAAAUUAGAGUACAGAUACACAAAUCAAGUGUUCUAGCAUCCAAAUUCAGUCUAGCAAAAUCCAGAACGCUGGAUUCCUUAGGCUUCCACUAAGUUUUGGUACCACGUGCAUCAGUAUCGGUAGAAAUCGUAUCAAAACCAAUACCCAACCUAGUUUCGCAAAUCCCGAGAGCUGUCCAAACCAAUACACAACAGGGUUUCGGUACUCAAACUCGGUAUUAGUACGCAAUUGCCAAACUAGUAGCUUUUGUAGAUUGUGGCCUCUGGAGUCCGUUUUUGCGCUAUUCAAGCUCCGAAAAUGCUCUCAAGCUCUCCAAAUUCAAACCAAACUCUCAGAAAAGUAUAGAAUACUAUUCCUCUUACUGGAACCUCGCAAUUAGCUAAAGUUUAGUGUGCUAUAAAGAGAAAUAUUUAUGGUUGGCUAGUUAUUAAUGAUAUGGUGUAAGUGUUACAUUAUAGUGUAAGGACUGAGAUUUUUACAGUACAACUAAACUCUCUGUUGACGGUGUUUAUGUGUGUAAUUUAAUUACAUAAGCACUCGUCAAGUUUCAGGAGAAAAUGAGCUAGAAUGGAGAAGAUACGCGAUAUUAGUUUUCACUUAAAGUGAAUAGUAACUCCGGUUUUUCGGAGAAGCAACGGAGUAGAGUUGGCUUUCGGCGCGUAUCGGACUCCGUUCAUAGUGAUCCAAUAGGUCGUUUCGAUUUGUUCAGCUAUUCUGGAACCAAUGGCACUGACGGAUUUCAGAUCUGAUGCACGGUUUUCGAUAAAAAGGAGUUUUAAUAAAAAGAGGAUUUUCGCUCUUUGCUAUUCGUGCAUUUUAAAACUCCUCGUGCUUUGUACUAGUGAUCUGGAGAUGGGUGAGAGAUGUUUCAAGUACCUACUGGUGGUAGGGAAUUCAAAUACGAGUUUGAAUUAAAGGUUUUUGGGUUUUCACAUAAGUCUAUGUGUGACUUAUGGAUUAAUUAGAGAGCGGAGGGAUUCCGUCGCGAAUCCGUGACCAAAUUGGAUGAAACAAGAUUGUAGUUUUGAUGCCCCCGACGUGCUGAAAGCAAUGGUGUUGUCGGAUCGAAAAUCCGACGGAUGGAUUUUCGGAAAACGCGAAAUGUUCACUAAGAGGUCAAAGCGGCAUUUUUGGUAUUUCACACGAAACCCUUAUAGUUUAUGUGUCGAAUUGCAUGAGAUCAGACGUGGAGGUGCAUACGCGCAAGUUACACUCCCUGUCAGGGACUCAGCUGAUAUUACUUACCAUGGGGAGGACUUUUCUGCAAUUUGCACAUUGCAUACAAUGUGUAUCUAGGGUUCUUUUGCAAGAAACCCUAGAUCUAGCCGACCUAGUUCCCCAACCGUGCCCUAGAUAGCCCCAGCAGGUCCCUACCCUGCCUGUGCUCGUGCCCAGACCUCCGGCGAGCAACUCCGGCCGCCGGAAAACUCAUGGUCAUCUUCCUCUCCUCCCCUCUCGACCACCCUCUCCUCCUCUCUGCCGAAGUUGCUCGGGAAGCGACCACAGACCAUCUUGGAAGCUUCCUGGGAAGAUAUCUCCCUCUCCGGCGCCGGCACCGGCCAUCCCCACCAUCCUCGCGCGCCGCCGGCGCCGCCCAAGCAAGCCGCGGGCAACCCAGACGAGCUCGGCCCGAGCAGACCUUAGCUCGAGGCUUGCGAGUUGUAGCAGCCCUAGCUCGGCCGCCCUGCCUCAUUUGGCCUCCGGGGUGACCCCGCGCGCCAUCGCCGCCGCUCCUGACGCCGCCGGCCGCCACCCCUGCUCUCUGCGGCCGCCGAGACUGAGUGUGGGUCGAGCCGGGGCUAGCUCUGCCUCCGCACGUCGCCGCCUUCCGCCGCCGGCCAGCGCGAUCACCGGCUCCGCCUGGCCGGCCGCACCCGUCCACCGCCGGCUAACCUGCCGCCGAAGCUCCCUGUCAACCGUGGUGAGCCCAUGCUCUCCUCGGGUUGCGCGACUAGGGCAUCGUUGCCCUCUGUCGUCGCCGCCUCCCGUCGCCUGUUGACGCGAGCCCCGGCCUCCUCUGACCUGGAGCACCUUCCCCUGGCCGGCCUGCCCGCCGUCCGGCCGCCGCCGGCCACCCCGAGCCCUGCCUAGCUCCGGUAAGCUUGUAUUGCAAUUAUUCUGCACCGUGUCUUGGGGUUUCGGUGAUUGUUCCGGUGAACCGAGGCCACCCCGAGUCUUCUGAAGGUGAGCACGAUGAUCCUGGUUCAGUGCUGAUCAUCGUGGCCACCUUCAUUGGAGUUUGAGAGCUUCUGAUUUGCGAGAUAAGCAUGUUCUUCAUGCUGUGCGCGCUGUUCGCAGAUUUUCGCGUCACUCCCACGCUCUCCACAGUGGCCGAAAUUGCUCUGAAAGGUGAGCACGGCAUCCGGCACGGCGAGACCUGUCAGCGGGUGUCUCGGCUUCGCUGAUUCACUUCUGGUUUGUGCAGACGGACCAUAAAAGCGCCGAAAUCGCAUGAAAUAAUGCGAUUUCGGGUAUUCGGAAGGGCUUUUAUGCAACUUUGUUCGUCGUGGCUGCUGUUGGCAGCAAGUAUGGGCUGAGGAUAGCCUCUGGACUGAUCGUCCAAGGCCCCAAGCCUUUGCGGGAAUCAGAAAGUGAUUUCCGGUGCGUUUCUCGGCGAAAUCCGCCGACGGAACACGGGUUCAGUUUGGAAUUAUUCCGACGGUGCUUCGUGAGAUGAUGUGUAGUCGCUGUGCCUUGUUGGCUGGUCACUCGCGUCAUUUCGAGAGUUCAGAAAUGAUGGGUGAGCGACGGUGGGUUCCGGUAUCAAAAUAGACACUUCCGGGAACCCGGUUUGGAACGAUUAUUCGACGAUAAUCGUUUUGGAGUGAGUUAAGGUCUUUGCUGCCAAGUCACACGUAAAUUUGUAUUUAGUGGCAGCGGGCGACUCGUAGGACGAGUCGGUGAGUUCCGGGACAGUCCGUGGGUCCCGGCAGAGUCUCGGUGCGAUUACGGAAUUUCCGGCGUAUUACGAUGAUCGGUUUGGGAAACCGAUUCUCGUGGUUAUUUGUGUGGCGUUUGGCUUUUAGGGUUUUCUUAGUUGUGGGUAGACACUAACCCAUGUGGACCUGUCUUAGGUCCGGUUGACGUUCUUUUUGGCAGUCAGGAGACCUGCGCGACAGUUGUACAUGUGGGUACUCGACCCGUAGUCGAUACAGUGUCACGCUCGGUGACGGCUUCUUCACCCCUACUGUUUACUCACCUUACAGUUAUAUUGAACGCUUGCACCUGCAUUUAUAUCUGCAUUCCUCUACUCAGUUAUUUCCAUGUCGAUAUCAUACUUAGAAGUAGAGUUGACCUAUCUGUUUCACUAUAUCUGUGAUUUGGUUGGGUGGUUCCCCAUUUUGAUAUCUAUGACCUACUUCGGUCAGUUGUUACAGUUCUAUCUUGACAUACGUAGCCGACUAGUUGCUGAUGACCUAUAUGGUCGAUGUGCCCUGAGGGCUGGAUUGUCGGCUAGUUGACGAUGGAAGAUCUUUGAGCAUACUACAUUGAUCGCCACUCCAGUAGUCAUUCACGAACACCAGCGGUCUGAUCCACGCAAGAGGGUGUUAUUUUCGGAAAAGUGUUCGAUUGCCAACCCGUGAGCCCAGGGCCUUUAUUGCGAGGUAUAUGCUUUGACCAGGGGUCAUUUCAUGUGCGAGGGUCAGGUACAGGGUGAGCAGUGGUGGCAUGGUCCUGAGGUCUUCGGACAGUCGGAAAUAGGCAGCGAGAUAUGCUUCGGACCCGAGCUUUCAUUGCGAGGGUCAGGUACAGGGUGAGCAGUGUGGCAUCGGCCUGAGGUCUUCGGACCAAUAGGGCAGCGAGAUUGGGUACUUUUGAGGUUAUCGUUAGUUGACGCAUGCAUACAAUAGCUGUAGUGCUUAUUUCCAGUACAUCCUUAUCUGUUUAUUGUAGCUACUGUUUUAUUUACCUGCAUCUAUACUUGUCAGCUCCCUACUUAUCAGCAUCUUUACUUACCAGCACUUAGAUCUAUCUAGUUCUCCGUGACUAGUGAGUACCCCUCGCCCUCUCCGGCUUGCAGUACCCACUGGGAGGGGAGACAUGUUUACAUGUUCUCACCUCCCCCACCAUUUUUCAGGUAUUGCAGGCGAUGAGUUUUGGGACGAGACGUGAGGUACGUUCGUAGCGGUCGAUAGAGCUUCCGACCCAGGUUAUUGGUUUAGUUCCUACCCUUACUAUUCUGUUGACAUAGUUUAGAUAGUUUACCUGGUUCAGUAUUUUUAUUACAUUUGAACAUGUGGAUUUUCAUGAAUGUAAUAAAAGAAUUUUUGGAUUUUGAAAAAUAAAAGGUUUUCUACCCAUCGUGGUAGCGUUUUAUAAAGAUAAAAGUUCCUGUGUAGGGAACAGCUUUCAGAAGGUUUUCUGUGGAUCUUGUAUCUUAGUAUUUCAAAACCUGUUUCUGUGGUUGGAAACAUUUUACUGAUAGAUGUGGAUUUAUAUUUAAAUAUCGAAUGUAUUAAUGUGAACCUGUGGUGAAUGGUGUAUGAAUAUAUAUCUGUUGGUCAUUUGUAUGUUCAUAUGGUUGUGGUUGUAUAAUGUUUGAACUCUUGUACUUGUGUGACGCCGUACAAAUAUAGGGGAGACUCUGUCCGUGUGAACAGUGGAUUUCCUGUAUUUGUGGCGGAUCUGGCAUACUCUGGGGUCAGAUUUUCAAAAAAAAAAAUUCAGACGCUUUUCCGCUAUCUUUUAAACUAAAAGGGACCCCGGGGCGUGACAUAUAGACCUUCUCCUUCCAAGGGCCAAUAAUACAUGGUUGUCUUGUUAAUCUUUCUUUUAAUCCAAAAUCUAAAGAAUUUUCAAAACUCCAGGAUUAAGGUGAUAUAGGGGGUGUUUGGCUUAAAUUUUCAAAAAUAAUUUUAGGACCAAAAGUAAUUUUGCCUUUAAUAGAGCGUCUAAUUAACAACCUUUUUUUCAAAUAUGAUUCUAAUUCUCAAAAUCAGUUUUAUGAUUUUUAGGUCUCAAAACUAGAAACAAGUAAAAUAAGCUUCUAAAAAUCUAAUUCUAAUUCUAGACAAAUUUAAAGUUUAAUUUUUACAUUGUAUUCAAAUUAUUCAUUUAAAUUUAAAUUUCAAAAUUAAAUUUUUAGAAUUUUAAAAUUUAAAUUUUAUGUUUUAAUUUUAAGUUUUAAAAUUUAAAUCUUAAAAUUAAAAAUUUAAAAUUUAAAAUUUAAAAUCCUAAAUUUAAAUUUAAAUUUUAAAUUUUAAAAUUUAAAUAUUAAACUUUGCUUUAAAAUUUCAAAACUGAAAUUUUAAAAUUUCAAAAUUUUAAAUUUUAAAUUUCAAAUUUAAAAUAAAUUUAAAAUCAAAUUUUAAAUUUUAAAAUUUUAAAUUCCAAAUUAUAAGUUUUAAUUUUAAAAUUACAAAUUUCAAACUUUUAAGACCAAAAUAUAAGUUUUUCAAAUUUUUAUUUUUAAUUUUCAAAGUUUAUUUUUCAAUUUCAUAUAUUUUAAAUUCAAAAUUUUAAGUUUCAAAUUUAGAUUUUAAAUUAAAUUUUAAGUUUUAAAAUUUUAAAUUCCAUAUUAUCAAUUUUAAUUUUUAAAUUACCAAUUUCAAAAUUUUAAGAUAAAAAUAUAACUUUUUCAAAUUUUAAUUUUAAUUUUUAAAGAUUUAUUUUUAAUUUCAUAUAUUUUAAAUUCAAAAUUUUCAGUUUCAAAUUUAGAUUCUAAAUUCAAAGUUUGAUAUUUAAAGUUCAAAUUUAGAUUUAGAUAUUCAAGUUUUAAAAUUUAAUUUUUAAAUUUUCAAUUUUCAAAUUUGUAUUAUAAAUUAAAAAAAUUAGAUUUUAAAUUUUUGUUCAAAAUUUUAGAUGAAAAUUUAAAUAAAUAUUUUAAAUUUAACUGUAAAUUUUAGAUUAUUUUAAAUAAAAUUUAGCAAAAAAAAAAUCUACCACUACUAAAACAAAAUUUUUCGAAACAGGUUGACAAAAUCGCUUGAGAAAAAUUACUUUUGAUUUUGUUGAUGCCAAAAUUGAAAUUAACACACCGACUUAGCCCAUGUGUGAGCCAAAGAAAUAAGGACACGUGGUACACCAGGAGUCAGCAAUAAAGCGCCUGAAAGUCAAGGGCGUUUAGGAGGGAACGGUUGAGAAGUGAAGGCGUAACUUCCAUGAGAAGUGGGCGUAACUUUCAUGAGGAGUGGGCGUAACUUCCACGAUCAUGGUUACAACCACUCCCCCCACUACUUUCAACCGACCAAUAAUGUGGGCUGAGAAGACAUCACUAUAAAUAGUAACUUCAAAGCCUGUAAUAAAGGUUUUUCUCCAUCCUAAACGAGAAGACCACCCUUAUUUCCUUUGCAUUUUAUCGCUUUUCUAGGAGUAGUCUAAAUGUAAUCCUUUUCUUUUUCGCAUUUACUGCUUUCCUAGGAGUAGUUCGCUAAGUAGAACCCUAGAGUCUGUCUGCCCCACGGGCAUCACUCAGUUGUAGACUAUAUUUACAGAGUCUGUCUGCCCCACGGGCAUCACUCUGUUGUAAACUAUAUUUCUGAGUUAGUAUGCCCUUCGGGCACAUCUUUUUUAUUAGGGAUAAUUGCCUAUAUACCCUUCAUGUGUUCGAAAAUAUCCGAUCUACCCCUACUUUUUUUUUCUUUCUAAAAUGCCCCUCAUAUGUUCCACCGUUAUUCCAAAAUACCCCGCAGUUAUCCCCUGUUAGCUUAACUCGGGUUAAACAUGGGUUAAAUCUAUACUAGAGUUAAAAUCUAAACAAAAUACCUAUUUUGCCCCUACCUUAUUAUACUAAUCCCUAAGAUUAUCCUCUCUUUCUUCCCCAACUUGGUCGCCACCACCGGCCGGCUCCUUCGCCACCACCGGCCAGCUCCUCCGCCACCAUCUCGCCUCAUCUCCUCCCAGACCACCACCACCUCCCACACCUCCACCUCCAACACCACCCCUCUCGUCGCUCUCAUCGUCCUCUUCUACCGUUGCUCUCGUCAUCGCCGUCGUCCUCCUCCUCCACCGCCUUGGCCGGCGCUGGGAGCAAGAGGGCCGCAGCGACGAUCCCAUCUCUUGCCGAUCUUGUCAUCCUU